GAUGAACGCUGGCGGCGUGCCUAAUACAUGCAAGUCGAGCGAACAGACGAGGAGCUUGCUCCUCUGACGUUAGCGGCGGACGGGUGAGUACACGGUGAUUAACUUACCAUAAGGACGGGAAUACCUCGGGAAACCCGAACCAAUACCGGAUAAUAUAUUUGACCGCAUGGGUUCAUAGUGAAAGACGGUUUUGCCUGUACCUAUAACUGGAUCCGCGCCGCAUUAGCUAGUUGGUAAGGUAACGGCCUACCAAGGCAACGAUGCGUAGCCGACCUGAGAGGGUGAUCGGCCACACUGGAACUGAGACACGGUCCAGACUCCUACGGGAGGCAGCAGUAGGGAAUCUUCCGCAAUGGGCGAAAGCCUGACGGAGCAACGCCGCGUGAGUGAUGAAGGUCUUCGGAUCGUAAAACUCUGUUAUUAGGGAAGAACAAAUGUGUAAGUAACUAUGCACGUCUUGACGGUACCUAAUCAGAAAGCCACGGCUAACUACGUG
This 496-nucleotide ribosomal RNA is filed under the name uncultured bacterium. Its description in RNAcentral is "partial 16S ribosomal RNA". It matches the Rfam family "Bacterial small subunit ribosomal RNA", at positions 28 to 507 of the family's 1533-position model. The record is from RNAcentral.